RNAcentral lists this long non-coding RNA (573 nucleotides) under Homo sapiens (human). RNAcentral describes it as "long non-coding RNA NONHSAT028066.2". Lineage: Eukaryota; Metazoa; Chordata; Mammalia; Primates; Hominidae. The record is from RNAcentral.
GGGACAUAGGUGAUUCUUCAGGUGGUGGGGACAUAGACGAGAUGCCUCCGGUGGUGGAGACAUGGGUGACUCUUCAGGUGGAGGGGACAUGGGUGACUCCUCAGGUGGUGGAGACAGGCGAGAUGCUUCAGGUGGCGGGGAAGUGGGCAAUUCCUCAGGUGGCGGGGACAAAGGAGAUUCUUCAAAUGGUGGGGACAGGGGCGAUGCUUCAGGUGGUGGGGAUAGAGGCGUCUCAAGUGCAGGAGAUGGGGGUGACUCUUCCGGUGGAGACAAGGGCGACUCCUCCAGUGGAGAAAAAGGUGAUGAUUCAGGUGGGGGAGACAGAGGAGACUCCUCAGGCGGCGGAGAGAGGGGCGAUUCCUCCAGCGGCCGGGACAGGUGCAAUGCCUCAGGAAGUGGGGAUGCGGGCAAUUCCUCAGGUGGUGGUGACAGGCGUGAUGCCUCAGGUGGUGGGGACGUGGGUGAUUCCUCAGGUGGUGGGGACAGGGGUGACUCCUCAGGUGGGGGCAGCAGUGGCAUCUCCUCGUUUAGGGGGGCCUCCAACUGGGGCUCAAGUUGGACCCCUGCUUUCCC